Non-coding RNA from Podarcis lilfordi (Lilford's wall lizard), 76 nucleotides. Lineage: Eukaryota; Metazoa; Chordata; Lepidosauria; Squamata; Lacertidae. The record is from the annotation of a GenBank genome assembly.
ACCUGUGGGAUGGCUCAGUUGGUAGAGUAUGAGGCUCUUAAGCUCAGGCUCAUGGGUUAGAGCCCCACCUUGGGUA